CCGCAAGGGGAGUGGCAGACGGGUGAGUAACGCGUGGGAAUCUACCUAGUUCUACGGAACAACAGUUGGAAACGACUGCUAAUACCGCAUACGCCCUACGGGGGAAAGAUUUAUCGGAAUUAGAUGAGCCCGCGUAAGAUUAGCUAGUUGGUGGAGUAAUGGCCUACCAAGGCGACGAUCUUUAGCUGAUCUGAGAGGAUGAUCAGCCACACUGGGACUGAGACACGGCCCAGACUCC
RNAcentral lists this ribosomal RNA (238 nucleotides) under uncultured bacterium. RNAcentral describes it as "partial 16S ribosomal RNA". It matches the Rfam family "Bacterial small subunit ribosomal RNA", at positions 84 to 339 of the family's 1533-position model. The record is from RNAcentral.